Molecule: ribosomal RNA, 439 nt
Filed under: Aphelenchoides besseyi
Lineage: Eukaryota; Metazoa; Nematoda; Chromadorea; Rhabditida; Aphelenchoididae
Description: eukaryotic LSU rRNA
Rfam family: Eukaryotic large subunit ribosomal RNA
Source: RNAcentral
GUGCGGAGUGCGCCGAGUGGGUCGAUGUCGCUGCCGGAAGGGCGUAUAGAGGACUCGGGUUUUCGGACUCGAGAAUCCUGUGCGUUCGGAUAGCAGGUGAUGUUGGCUCGCUGUUGUGGAGUGCGGGUGAAUUCGCGAUGGGCGUCGGUUGUGAGUUGUGGUUGCGGAUGGCACAUGUGUCUUCCGUUUCCGCGGCCUACGAUCGGCGUUCGUUGCCCCGGCACUCGACUCGGUGUAUAGUCGGUCACCCAUUCGACCCGUCUUGAAACACGGACCAAGGAGUUUAAGGUGACGCGAGUCUUGAGCUGCGAAACUCAAAGGCGUAUGAAAGUGAGACUUGGAUGUCGACGAUUGAGCGGGGGCUUUCGAGUCCGGGCGCAAAUCGCCCCGUGACUGGACUUGUUCUGUUCGGAGGUUGAGCGUACGCUUUGAGACCCGA